CACGCCUGGCACUAUUGUCAUUAUUAUUAUGACUACUGUUCUCUCAUCCCUCCCCACCCCAGAUCCUGACCAAGAUGAAGCAGCAGGGUCAUGAGACAGCCGCCUGUCCGGAGACUGAAGAGAUACCGCAGGGAACCAGUGGCUGCUGGAAGGAUGACCUCCAGAAGGAACUGAGUGAUAUAUGGUGAUGCCCAGCCCGCAGUCUGACCCCUGACCCUCCUCUGAACCCGUUCCCCCAACGGGAUCUGGCAGUGACCACCAGAACCUGGAGCCCACCUGAGUCCAGACUUCCCUCACCCCCUAGGACUCACCCACCACGGCCCCCAACCUUAGCUGUACUGCUGUCUACACCCUGAGCAGUGUGGAGUCUCCCAGCACCCCCAGCUCCUUGUCUUCCUGCAGGUCUGCUGUGCACGUGCUGCAGAACUCCAUAGACAGCCUCACUUUGUGCUUGGGGGCCCGUCCCAAGGCCUCGAGCCUAAGAGGCCACAAGGGGCACCAGUGCCUGAGCCCUCCACUCCCCUCCUGGGACUCUGACUCCGACUCUGACCAGGACCUCUCCCAGCCACCUUUCAGCAAGAGCGGCCGCUCCUUCCCACCCGCUUGAGCAGCCGGGACUGCUCUCCCUGAAGACCCCUCCAGAGAGAAAAUAAACUAGCGCAGACCCUCCUCUAGCCCCGACUGUUAGUCCUGCUGCUUCCUGUGCCUAGGAAUCCCCCUGCCCUCCCAGUUUACUCCUCAUUGUUGGGGGGGAGGGGUGUAGAGACCCCAGGGGUCAUUCGGGAUGUGUGGGCUGGAA
RNAcentral lists this long non-coding RNA (799 nucleotides) under Pan troglodytes (chimpanzee). RNAcentral describes it as "long non-coding RNA NONPTRT007971". The record is from RNAcentral. Lineage: Eukaryota; Metazoa; Chordata; Mammalia; Primates; Hominidae.